GCUGAGGUUAAGCCCUUGUUCUAAAGAUUUGU
Molecule: ribosomal RNA, 32 nt
Filed under: Pleurotus fuscus var. ferulae
Lineage: Eukaryota; Fungi; Basidiomycota; Agaricomycetes; Agaricales; Pleurotaceae
Description: partial 28S ribosomal RNA
Source: RNAcentral